UCUGGUGACAAUAGCGAAGUGGUCACACCUGUUCCCAUCCCGAACACAGAAGUUAAGCACUUCAGCGGUAAAUAUAGCUAUGCUAGCCGUAGUGAAAAGAGCACGUUGCCAGUU
This 114-nucleotide ribosomal RNA is filed under the name Erysipelotrichaceae bacterium. The record is from RNAcentral. Lineage: Bacteria; Bacillati; Bacillota; Erysipelotrichia; Erysipelotrichales; Erysipelotrichaceae.